Brassica napus (rape) is the source of this 974-nucleotide long non-coding RNA. RefSeq lists it as uncharacterized. The transcript has 2 exons. The record is from RefSeq and is a predicted model, not a curated record. NCBI's taxonomy places the organism in Eukaryota, Viridiplantae, Streptophyta, Magnoliopsida, Brassicales, Brassicaceae.
UGCUGUAAAGGGCCGGCGGUGGAGACCCGAAUGUUGUAAAUUUUGGAGCGGGAAUGUACUUCCAGAAACAAGACAAUGUGCAUGUUAUGUACUGAAAUAUUCUCUUGGCGAUGGUUAUCUUCCCCUUAUUUUAGGGUUCCCAGUUUCGCGGGUCAUUCCCUGGGUCCGGUCAGGCAGCGGGUCGGCUUCACCCGGGAGGGUAUGUCCUGAGCCCGAAGGUCCAGUACCCGCUUCGUGACAUGGAUGAGCAGUUCGGCUCCGGCUGGCGUCGAACCCGCAAGCAUGACAAUUGGCCCUCAAGGUUCUAACUAGUAGAACUGACUCAUCCCGUCUCCUCUUUCACAGUUGCUCUUUAAAUCCCGUUCGCUUUAAUGGAGUUUUCUUCUUCUCUAUUGGAUUCGCAUGUACUCUUUUCUUAAGGGAGUCAAUUUUCACUCUUUAAAAGAUGAAGCCGCCGAUGAAUAGGCUCUGAGUGAAGUUUCCUGGAUAGAAAGGUGGAGUAAUCUCGAUUUGAUUUGAUGAAGAUUUAGAUGAAUCGGCAUCCUCUCGGAGAUGGUCCGAUAAAGAUCUUUAAUUUUAUUGAGUAAUCCCAGAGUUAUUACCCAAUGAAGUUGAUGGUGGCUCUCAUUGAAGCGACAGCCGGAUGAAAGAUAGCAGAUCGAGAAGUUCAAAGCUUGUUCGGUGACCAUGAGCAGUCUCUGCCGCCGGCGAGGUGUACCGACUUCCUCUCAUCCCAUGCGUUGGUGCGACAGAUGCAUGUCAGAUCCAGAAGUUUAAAGACUCAUGCAAAGGAGGAUGAGGGCGCGUGUCACGUCUUUCCCGUGAUGAAGACACAUGCACUAUUAGGCCUAAUAAAAUUUAUUUUAUGUCGAGUUGUAUGAUGAGUUUCAAGCCUGUUGCUUCUCUUGUAAUGUUCAUUGGGCCUUUCUAAAGGAAAGAAACAUUUGACAAAAAAAAAGAAAAAAAAUUCUACC